Long non-coding RNA from Lactuca sativa (garden lettuce), 1674 nucleotides. RefSeq lists it as uncharacterized. The record is from RefSeq and is a predicted model, not a curated record. Lineage: Eukaryota; Viridiplantae; Streptophyta; Magnoliopsida; Asterales; Asteraceae.
CAGGUUAAAUUCUAGGAACAAUCAGAAACUAAUAUCAAAUACUCUUUUUCGGCUCCAAAAUCGUUUUAGGGUCCAGAAAGGAUCGCAAUCAAAUUUCAAGAAUGUGUUUACUCUCCAAAAUCAAGGCGGGAAGUCUUCAUGUUUCUCACCGCCAAAACCAUAUCAAAUCGAUUCGAGAAAGUGUGAAAGCGAAUCAGCUGUACUACAGGGGUUCUUCUACCAAAAUCGUUCUUUAUUCAAUUCAUUAUGGAAGGAGAAAACACAUUGAUUGAAGAUGUGCCUAUAUUGGAAAUGGAGGAGGAGGACCAAUAUGAUGGAUCUGAUCUAGAUGAUUCAGAACAUGAAGACAGAUAUGAUUACACUUCUAGUGAUUCCGAUAGCAACAACGAGACUAGAAAGAAAACAAGGAAGAGGGGAUUGACUCGAUUGCCAAAGUUACGAACCGAACAUACCAAUUCUGGUGGAAGAAAAAAACGUGUAAAAUUUGAUGAAUUUGGAAGGUUUGCAGGGAAGUAUAGAUCACAACUACCUAGUUAUCUGGGAGACUUAGUACGGGAGAGGGUAGGAGUUAGUGUUUUCAACUGGAAGAAGGUAACAAAAGAAGUCAAGGAAAAACUAUGGGAAGAAAUAACGCGUUUUUAUGAAAUUGAAGAUAGUCGAAGAAAAUAUAUAAUGAAUCAGCUUGGUAUCCUUCUACGGAAUUUUAGAAGAAAAUUGUACGCAAAGUACAUAAAGCCCUACUUAGGGAAUACCACCAAGCUUAAAAGAAUUCCUAAACGAUAUCGUACAAUAAUCCUUAGCCAAGAUCAUUGGGACAAGUUCGUUGAACACACAGUCUAAACAAUUCAAGGUUAAAUUCCUUCUUUUUUUCAUUAUCACUUUUAUUUUAUAGUUUCUCAAGGUAUAAAAUACUUAUAAGAUCCGUGAAAUUUAUAUUUUGGAAGGAUAUUUCGACAAAGAUGAUAGUAGCACGUUCGAAGUCGAAUUAUAAUCACCGGAUGGGACGAGGAGGAUAUACGGCCCUAAGAGAGAAAUUGGUAAAUAAUAAAGUACUUGCCAAAGAUGAAAUGCCACCCCGGUCAUUAAUGUGCGACUACAAAUUCAUAUCUAAAAACAAAUACUCAUUCACCAAAACUCCCAGAGACAAUGAAGACAAUGAAGUGCAUUCUACAAUAUCCAAAUAACAGAAGUAAUGUUGCUUUUGGUACCGUUUACAUAUCUUCGGAAAGACAAACCAUUCAUGGAGUUCCACUUCAAGACGACUGUUAUAAAGUAUCAAUUGAUGAAGUGAUAAAGGGAGCUGCAUUUUUACCAUAUCAAAACGGUGAUAUCAAAACAGUUGAGGAGGCAUAUAAAACUUUUGUUGCAUGGCCAAAAUACCUUGUCAAAUGUGAUGAAAAGGUACCACGUAUGAGAUCAACUCAUGAUGAUGCAUGUAAAAGCUCCAAGAAGCAAAAAAAAAGUUUUAUAAUGAGAGAUAGCAUUGGCAAGCAUACAAGGAGCACUUUCAACAAGACCGAACAAAUGUAGUUUUUGGUUUAUGCCUUUUUUCCUAUCUUUAGAAAAUUUAAGUAAACUUGUUUUCACUAAAAGGAUUUUUACCUUUUAACUAGGGAAAUUAUAUAUGGGAAUUUUCAAUUGAAUUAUUAUUAAUCUUGAUAUUUUUUUGUCGUU